RNAcentral lists this long non-coding RNA (740 nucleotides) under Pan troglodytes (chimpanzee). RNAcentral describes it as "lncRNA (ENSPTRG00000054252.1)". Lineage: Eukaryota; Metazoa; Chordata; Mammalia; Primates; Hominidae. The record is from RNAcentral.
GUUUGGGCAGGGCAUGGCUGGGCAGCUCUUCUGCUCCACCUCAUGGCAUGGACUACAUAUAUGGAGCUGAGCUAGGCUAGAGGGUCCAAUAAGUCUCCACCCACAAGUCUAGAACCUCAGUGCUCCCUUAUGUUGUCUCUCUCUCCAUAUGGAUAACUUGGGCUUCCUCACAGCAUGGCUGUCUCAGUACAGUUUAACACAUUACCUUGUCUGGACUCUAGAAGAGGAGAAGCAGAAGCUAACAAUUCUCUAAAGACUGGAAUUGUAAACCCCAAAACAUCACUUCCAGCAUUUUCUGUUGAUGAAGUGCGGCAGACGGUCUGAAGUCUAAGUUCGCGAGCUGCCGACGGUGGCGCGGAAGUCUUUGGUCUCAGUCUGGAGAGGCGCGGGCGUGCAGGCCGCUAAGGACCCCGUUCACAGCUAGAGCAGAGAAGCAAUCCCCUGGUGGAGGUAGGCAAGCGGUUGCGGCUCGGCGCCCUCGUUUUUCCCUCCUUUUCCCAUCAUUAGUUGGACUGAGUAAUGCUGUGGAGAAGCCUUUCAACGCUGCUACCUUGGAGAGGGAAAUGAAUGUCCCUCUUUCUUGGAAAGGAGCUCUCACCGGGGCUGCACCUGCGCAGGGAGGCUCGGCCCCAUCUCUCUGGACGCAGCGGUCGGCCGUGCAGACCUGGGGUCGCCCCGGCCCCGCGGUAGAGGCGGGAGGCGGAGGCGGCUCGGAAGUCGCGCCCCCGCUGGGUCGCUAG